GCAAGGAACGACAACUCUGGGUAGAGAUUGUAUUUUUUAAAAAUAGCAUCAAACGAAUACAUUUCGUUUUAUGCUUGUGUGGAAAUUCCCGUUCUAUAAAUAGCGCUAUUCCUGAGCAAUCCACUCGGAACAUGAGGUGGAGAUCUAUCUCCCCUAAAAUCCACCACUGAUAUAAAGGGCAAACAACACAGCUGGAUAAAGCAUCCCAAGUCUGCACCUUGUAAAGCUAUGACAAUGAGAGAAAUGUGUAACAGGAAAGGGAGAAAAUGCAACGGACCAGACCGGGAUUCGAACCCGGGCCCCCUGAAUAUCUAGUCAGGUGCUCUACCAACUGAGCUAACUGGCCACCUGUGAUCGAACCCGGCCGACCGCUACAUUCCUCCCUCCUUAAAUGUCUUCACACCCUGAAGACAUCAACCCAGGAUCUUUAUCCCCUGGCAGGCAUUUUCACCUGUCAGUUCCAGGGGCUGGUCACGGUUAACCAAAUGUAACAGGAAAGGGAGAAAAUGCAAUGGACCAGACCGGGAUUCGAACCCGGGACCCCUGAAUCUCUAGUCAGGUGCUCUACCAACUGAGCUAACUGGCCACCUGUGAUCGAACCCGGCCGACCGCUACAAAUGUAUCCACCCAGGCAAUCAGAAUAUAGAGUGCAACCCGGAAGGUGCGCUGCAGCUCAAAGAGAGCCAUGGUUAUUGGCAUCAAGUUCUCCAUCAGCUUUACCUCACAGGCACCACUUGUGAUUUCUUAGUUUGAACACCAAUGAACAUGGAAGUGAUUCUCAUCCUUCGAGAUGAAUUAUGGGAAUUUCAAUUAUACUUGGCAUACACGAUUGAGCCUUUGUGCCCUCUCUGCAAUAACCAACUAGACAGACUUGUGAAAAUUCAAAUGUCUUCCAUUAGUUUUAUUUUGUUUUUGCUACAAAUGACCAGUGUAAAGAUGUGCAUGAAUCACCAUUGUAACAAUUUCUUUGACUUAAGUAGCAAAUUGUUCACUUUGUCAUUUACUUGAAUGCAUUUAAUACAACUUGACAAUGCAGAAUAAUAUGAGUAAGAAGUUGUACAUUUAUAGUAUCUAAGUCCAAAGGUAAGAUUUAAUAAAUUGUGGAAUUCAUAUCAGCUAUUUCCUUCAGUAGAGGAUUUGCAAAUGUACAAGAGUCACACAGAGUUGAAAAUCUUAGUGGACAGAUAUAUAUGUCUGUAUUGUGAAGGUAUAUGAUUUAGAAUAUGGAUGUUUUUAAUUAUUCAAUUGCACACUCCACAUGAAUUUGACUCUUCCUUGUCUUGUAACAGCUGUGCUUCAUCCUUUCUGAAAUGAGAUUUUGAUGAAAGAAAAGGUGAUAUGUUCAAUGUCACUCCUGAUUAAAGUUUAUCAAAUAUAUCAAAUCCUUUAUUGGCAAGAAUCAUAUAUCAUCUG
Long non-coding RNA from Ostrea edulis (European flat oyster), 1413 nucleotides. RefSeq lists it as uncharacterized. The record is from RefSeq and is a predicted model, not a curated record. Lineage: Eukaryota; Metazoa; Mollusca; Bivalvia; Ostreida; Ostreidae. The transcript is spliced from 3 exons.